UUCUACAGAAGGAAGCAGCUCAAUACAAAAAUGAAUCUAUCCAAAGUAUUUCUAAUCGUCCUGAUUGCUGUCUUUGCUCUGCUCGGCCAAUCUGAAGCAGGGGGACUGAAGGGUUUUGCAAGGAAACUGGGCAAUCUUGGUAAAAAAGCUGUUCAAGCUGGCGCUAAAGUAGCAAAGGUCGUUGCCGUGCUUCAAGCUAAUGGUGUUCCAAUUGGAAAGUGAUCGUUGAAUAAAUAAAAGCAUCAAACAAA
Long non-coding RNA from Uranotaenia lowii, 251 nucleotides. RefSeq lists it as uncharacterized. NCBI's taxonomy places the organism in Eukaryota, Metazoa, Arthropoda, Insecta, Diptera, Culicidae. The record is from RefSeq and is a predicted model, not a curated record. The transcript has 2 exons.